This is a long non-coding RNA of Alosa alosa (allis shad), 443 nucleotides long. RefSeq lists it as uncharacterized. The record is from RefSeq and is a predicted model, not a curated record. Lineage: Eukaryota; Metazoa; Chordata; Actinopteri; Clupeiformes; Clupeidae. The transcript has 6 exons.
GCUGGUGGAGGUUGUGUUCUAGCACAUACAGAGGUGUGUGUGGUGUGGUGGUGUGUGUGGUGUGUGUGGUGUGUGUGGUGUGUGGUGUGUGUGUACCUCUCGUAUGAGCUGGUGGAGGUUGUGUUCCAGCACAUACAGAGGUGUGUGUGGUGUGUGUGGUGUGUGUGGUGUGUGUGUGUGGUGUGGUGUGUGUGUGUACCUCUCGUAUGAGCUGGUGGAGGUUGUGUUCCAGCACAUACAGAGGUGUGUGUGGUGUGUGUGGUGUGUGUGUGUGUGUGUGUGUACCUCUCGUAUGAGCUGGUGGAGGUUGUGUUCCAGCACAUACAGAGGUGUGUGUGGUGUGUGUGUGUGGUGUGUGUGUGUACCUCUCGUAUGAGCUGGUGGAGGUUGUGUUCUAGCACAUACAGAGGUGUGUGUGGUGUGUGUGGUGUGUGUGUGUGUGU